RNAcentral lists this ribosomal RNA (848 nucleotides) under Aschersonia andropogonis. Its description in RNAcentral is "eukaryotic LSU rRNA". It matches the Rfam family "Eukaryotic large subunit ribosomal RNA", at positions 71 to 943 of the family's 3401-position model. Lineage: Eukaryota; Fungi; Ascomycota; Sordariomycetes; Hypocreales; Clavicipitaceae. The record is from RNAcentral.
GGGAUUGCCUCAGUAACGGCGAGUGAAGCGGCAACAGCUCAAAUUUGAAAUCUGGCCCCCUCGGGGGGCCCGAGUUGUAAUUUGCAGAUUGUGCUUUUGGCGAGGCGCCUUCCGAGUUCCCUGGAACGGGACGCCACAGAGGGUGAGAGCCCCGUCUGGUCGGCCGCCGAGCCUCUGUAAAGCACCUUCGACGAGUCGAGUAGUUUGGGAAUGCUGCUCAAAACGGGAGGUAUAUGUCUUCUAAAGCUAAAUACCGGCCAGAGACCGAUAGCGCACAAGUAGAGUGAUCGAAAGAUGAAAAGCACCUUGAAAAGGGGGUUAAACAGUACGUGAAAUUGUUGAAAGGGAAGCGCUCGCGACCAGACUUGGGCCCGGCGGAUCACCCAGCGUUCUCGCUGGGGCACUCCGCCUCGUCCCAGGCCAGCAUCGGUUCGCGCCGGGGGACAAAGGCGGCGGGAACGUGGCUCCCCCGGGAGUGUUAUAGCCCGCCGCGCAAUGCCCUGGGGCGGACCGAGGAUUCGCGCAUCUGCAUGGAUGCUGGCGUAAUGGUCACCAGCGACCCGUCUUGAAACACGGACCAAGGAGUCGUCUUCGUAUGCGAGUGUUCGGGUGUCAAACCCCUACGCGUAAUGAAAGUGAACGCAGGUGAGAGCUUCGGCGCAUCAUCGACCGAUCCUGAUGUUCUCGGAUGGAUUUGAGUAGGAGCAUACGGGGCCGGACCCGAAAGAAGGUGAACUAUGCCUGUGUAGGGUGAAGCCAGAGGAAACUCUGGUGGAGGCUCGCAGCGGUUCUGACGUGCAAAUCGAUCGUCAAACAUGGGCAUGGGGGCGAAAGACUAAUCGAACCUU